RNAcentral lists this ribosomal RNA (247 nucleotides) under uncultured archaeon. RNAcentral describes it as "partial 16S ribosomal RNA". It matches the Rfam family "Archaeal small subunit ribosomal RNA", at positions 691 to 937 of the family's 1478-position model. The record is from RNAcentral.
CCGACGGUGAGAGGCGAAAGCUGGGGGAGCAAACCGGAUUAGAUACCCGGGUAGUCCCAGCUGUAAACGAUGUGCGUUAGGUGUAUCGGUGACCACGAGUCACCGAGGUGCCGAAGAGAAAUCGUGAAACGUACCGCCUGGGAAGUACGGUCGCAAGGCUGAAACUUAAAGGAAUUGGCGGGGGAGCACCACAAUAGGUGGAGCCUGCGGUUUAAUCGGACUCAACGCCGGGAAACUCACCAGAUAA